RNAcentral lists this ribosomal RNA (808 nucleotides) under uncultured bacterium. Its description in RNAcentral is "bacterial SSU rRNA". It matches the Rfam family "Bacterial small subunit ribosomal RNA", at positions 63 to 904 of the family's 1533-position model. The record is from RNAcentral.
CGAACGAGCAAGGAAGUUUUCGGAUGGAAUUGCUGAGUGGCGGACGGGUGAGUAACGCGUGGGUACCUGCCUCACACUGGGGGACAACAGUUAGAAAUGACUGCUAAUACCGCAUAAGACCGCAUGGUAAAAACUCCGGUGGUGUGAGAUGGACCCGCGUUUGAUUAGCUAGUUGGUGGGGUAACGGCCUACCAAGGCGACGAUCAAUAGCCGACCUGAGAGGGUGACCGGCCACAUUGGGAUUGAGACACGGCCCAAACUCCUACGGGAGGCAGCAGUGGGGAAUAUUGCACAAUGGGGGAAACCCUGAUGCAGCGACGCCGCGUGAGUGAAGAAGUAUUUCGGUAUGUAAAGCUCUAUCAGCAGGGAAGAAAAUGACGGUACCUGACUAAGAAGCCCCGGCUAACUACGUGCCAGCAGCCGCGGUAAUACGUAGGGGGCAAGCGUUAUCCGGAUUUACUGGGUGUAAAGGGAGCGUAGACGGUAAAGCAAGUCUGAAGUGAAAGCCCGGGGCUCAACCCCGGGACUGCUUUGGAAACUGUUUAACUAGAGUGCUGGAGAGGUAAGCGGAAUUCCUAGUGUAGCGGUGAAAUGCGUAGAUAUUAGGAGGAACACCAGUGGCGAAGGCGGCUUACUGGACAGUAACUGACGUUGAGGCUCGAAAGCGUGAGGAGCAAACAGGAUUAGAUACCCUGGUAGUCCACGCCGUANACGAUGAAUACUAGGUGUUGGGGGAAAAUCCUUCGGUGCCGUCGCAAACGCAAUAAGUAUUCCACCUGGGGAGUACGUUCGCAAGAAUGAAACUCAA